Molecule: ribosomal RNA, 421 nt
Filed under: uncultured bacterium
Lineage: Bacteria
Description: partial 16S ribosomal RNA
Rfam family: Bacterial small subunit ribosomal RNA
Source: RNAcentral
AAUAUUGGACAAUGGGGGCAACCCUGAUCCAGCCAUGCCGCGUGUGUGAAGAAGGUCUUCGGAUUGUAAAGCUCUUUAAGUUGGGAGGAAGGGCUGUAGGUUAAUACCCUGAAGUUUUGACGUUACCAACAGAAUAAGCACCGUCUAACUCUGUUCCCGCACCCGCAGUAAUACAGAGGGUGCAAGCGUUAAUCGGAAUUACUGUGCGUAAAGCGCGCGUAGGUGGUUCAGUAAGAUGGGUGUGAAAUCCCCGGGCUUAACCUGGGAACUGCUUUCAUAACCGCAGAGCUAGAGUACGGUAGAGGGUAGUGGAAUUUCCUGUGUAGCGGUGAAAUGCGUAGAUAUAGGAAGGAACACCAGUGGCGAAGGCGACUACCUGGACUGAUACUGACACUGAGGUGCGAAAGCGUGGGGAGCAAAC